CCUCACUGGCAGCGGGGCCGGGCCCGUCCCUGCCCUGCCCUGCCCGUGAGCUCUGCGAGGUGCAGGGCCGUCCUCGGGAGCCCCGCACGCUGCCAGCACCGCCGCACCUUUGUUUGGGCCCGGGGAGACUAUGUGAAUGGAAUCAGAAGCAGAGGAUGGGGAGGAUGCCUGCACUGUGCAGCGGAAUGUGGGAGAGCACACGAUUGCCGUGGAAACCAGCUAUAGUAAAUGGAGCUCUUCAGCUGCAGGGGAGGAUUUAUACCACCAGGCUGGGAGCAGGCAAUUUAAAUCAGCCAUCCGCAGACACUGCAUACCUGUCUGAUCCUGAGGGCAAUGGUUAAACACAGCUUACCCGGAUCCACCAUGGGGCCGGGGGCUCACCAGCUGCCACAGAACUGCACAGACGUAAGGAAUUUGCCUUAUUGCCAUCUCUAGUAAUGACGCUCCGAAACUCCUAACUCACUGGGUUUGGGGUGAUUGGAUUUAAGUUUGCAGCUCAGUAUGCAGCCAGGUGUAUUUGUAUCAUUAAACGUAAUGUAUCAAAGACUGUACGCUCUGUCAUUGUGCUUCACUGUGCUUUUUGUUCUCGAGUUACUUCGUUCUGCUUCAGCCUUCCAGCAAAGCAUCAAAGAGCCCCCGAGAACAGCAAGAUUCCAGCCUCCUCCUUCAGGAGAAGUUUGAUGCUGAAAACCCCGGCGGUCCAACCAAAAUACAAAGCCAGGAUCUGGGUCCUCCCGUCCCACAUUUGUCGCUGCUGUGUCUUUGUGAGAGUGUUGCCCACGCAGCAGACGCUGCCCAACGAGAGCUCCUGUUUCCCUUUGCAGUUUUCUCUCUCCAGUGCUGUCCCCGUUGUACAACCGCUGCCAUGCAGCAGAGCUGAUCUGCAGUCCUGGUAGGGAUCCCAUGACAGUGGACUGCAGGAAGCUGCAGUCUGUAGGCUGUGCAGCCUGGUAGAGAGGUGGUAAGUUUUUAGAGACCUAACCACGUGAACAGACAUUAAUAUUCAUUCAAUCCCUUAGGCCACAUGGGCUGCUAAUCACAUCGCGUGAUCGAUACCACGAGUGGCACGUCAACCACAACGCUGAGAUUUGCCAGCCUGGGAAAAAUAUCAAACAUCAAGAGAUAGAACUCAUCGAUACGUCAAAUAGAAAGAGUGACUUUACAGGUGACAGAGCCAGAUUGCCUAAUUGGAGUCCUGACGUGAAGCAAAUGCUCUCACUCAAUGUAUGCUGCCUCAGACCAAGAACUUGUGCCUGAACUGCAGCAUAUUUAAACACCACUGUCCUGGAUACCAGCUAAUGGAGAAUGUGCUAGAUUCCUAAUAAGGUGGUUGUUUUAUUGUUUAAUUACCUCCAUUUCAGCAUCACACCUUAUUGCUAGUCUGAAAUGGCUUGACUGCAAACCCUGGCUGCGUCAAUCUCCACGAGAUUUAGAAGCCUUCCUUCUGUUGCCAGAAAUUUCAUUGUCUACAAAGUUGAUUGUCACCUAUGAUUAAGCCACACCUUAAAAUUUUCUUAAGCAGUUAAAUCAAUUAACUCGCUUCGUUUUGCAUCGCUCCCGUAGCUGAUAGUUGCAUUCCCAGUACUGAGAGCCUUCCCACUGCUCCUUCAUUUUAGCACACGCGUUCUCAUCUUCCUUCAGCUGAGCUGUCCAUGUGGUGAUGUUUGGCUGUGUGCAACACCCGCUCCAAAGCAUCCCUCUCUGCAGAGCAAAC
This is a long non-coding RNA of Numida meleagris (helmeted guineafowl), 1714 nucleotides long. RefSeq lists it as uncharacterized. The record is from RefSeq and is a predicted model, not a curated record. The transcript has 3 exons. Lineage: Eukaryota; Metazoa; Chordata; Aves; Galliformes; Numididae.